This 1021-nucleotide ribosomal RNA is filed under the name Hirsutella thompsonii. RNAcentral's name for it is "SSU rRNA". It matches the Rfam family "Eukaryotic small subunit ribosomal RNA", at positions 39 to 1070 of the family's 1831-position model. Lineage: Eukaryota; Fungi; Ascomycota; Sordariomycetes; Hypocreales; Ophiocordycipitaceae. The record is from RNAcentral.
AAAGAUUAAGCCAUGCAUGUCUAAGUAUAAGCAAUUAUACAGCGAAACUGCGAAUGGCUCAUUAUAUAAGUUAUCGUUUAUUUGAUAGUACCUUACUACUUGGAUAACCGUGGUAAUUCUAGAGCUAAUACAUGCUGAAAAUCCCGACUUCGGAAGGGAUGUAUUUAUUAGAUUCAAAACCAAUGNCCUCUNGGGCUCACUGGUGAUUCAUGAUAACUCUUCGAAUCGCAUGGCCUUGCGCCGGCGAUGGUUCAUUCAAAUUUCUUCCCUAUCAACUUUCGAUGUUUGGGUAGUGGCCAAACAUGGUUGCAACGGGUAACGGAGGGUUAGGGCUCGACCCCGGAGAAGGAGCCUGAGAAACGGCUACUACAUCCAAGGAAGGCAGCAGGCGCGCAAAUUACCCAAUCCCGACACGGGGAGGUAGUGACAAUAAAUACUGAUACAGGGCUCUUUUGGGUCUUGUAAUUGGAAUGAGUACAAUUUAAAUCCCUUAACGAGGAACAAUUGGAGGGCAAGUCUGGUGCCAGCAGCCGCGGUAAUUCCAGCUCCAAUAGCGUAUAUUAAAGUUGUUGUGGUUAAAAAGCUCGUAGUUGAACCUUGGGCCUGGCUGGCCGGUCCGCCUCACCGCGUGUACUGGUCCGGCCGGGCCUUUCCCUCUGUGGAACCCCAUGCCCUUCACUGGGUGUGGCGGGGAAACAGGACUUUUACUUUGAAAAAAUUAGAGUGCUCCAGGCAGGCCUAUGCUCGAAUACAUUAGCAUGGAAUAAUGAAAUAGGACGCGCGGUUCUAUUUUGUUGGUUUCUAGGACCGCCGUAAUGAUUAAUAGGGACAGUCGGGGGCAUCAGUAUUCAAUUGUCAGAGGUGAAAUUCUUGGAUUUAUUGAAGACUAACUACUGCGAAAGCAUUUGCCAAGGAUGUUUUCAUUAAUCAGGAACGAAAGUUAGGGGAUCGAAGACGAUCAGAUACCGUCGUAGUCUUAACCAUAAACUAUGCCGACUAGGGAUCGGACGAUGUUAUUUUU